AUACGUAGGUGGCAAGCGUUGUCCGGAAUUAUUGGGCGUAAAGCGCGCGCAGGUGGUUCCUUAAGUCUGAUGUGAAAGCCCCCGGCUCAACCGGGGAGGGUCAUUGGAAACUGGGGAACUUGAGUGCAGAAGAGGAUAGUGGAAUUCCAAGUGUAGCGGUGAAAUGCGUAGAGAUUUGGAGGAACACCAGUGGCGUAGGCGACUUUCUGGACGAUAAUAGACACUGAGGCUCGAAAGCGUGGGGAGCAAACAGGAUUAGAUUCCCUGGUAGUCCACGCCGUAAACGAUGAGUGCUAAGUGUUGGGGGGUUUCCGCCCCUCAGUGCUGCAGCUAACGCAUUAAGCGCUCCGGCUGGGGAGUACGGUCUCAAGACUGAAACUCAAAGGAAUUGACGGGG
RNAcentral lists this ribosomal RNA (397 nucleotides) under uncultured bacterium. RNAcentral's name for it is "partial 16S ribosomal RNA". It matches the Rfam family "Bacterial small subunit ribosomal RNA", at positions 523 to 918 of the family's 1533-position model. The record is from RNAcentral.